UACGUAGGGUGCGAGCGUUGUCCGGAAUUAUUGGGCGUAAAGGGCUCGUAGGCGGUUUGUCGCGUCGGGAGUGAAAACACUGGGCUUAACUCAGUGCUUGCUUCCGAUACGGGCAGACUAGAGGUAUUCAGGGGAGAACGGAAUUCCUGGUGUAGCGGUGAAAUGCGCAGAUAUCAGGAGGAACACCGGUGGCGAAGGCGGAUCUCUGGGCCAUUACUGACGCUGAGGCGCGAAAGCUAGGGGAGCAAACGGG
This 253-nucleotide ribosomal RNA is filed under the name uncultured bacterium. RNAcentral describes it as "partial 16S ribosomal RNA". It matches the Rfam family "Bacterial small subunit ribosomal RNA", at positions 524 to 776 of the family's 1533-position model. The record is from RNAcentral.